CCAGAGCUUGCUCUGGUGAAAGUGGCGCACGGGUGAGUAACGCGUGGAUAACCUGCCCUGGUAUCUGGGAUAACAUCUCGAAAGGGGUGCUAAUACCGGAUAAGCCUACGGACUCUUCGGAGUCUGCAGGAAAAGGUGGCCUCUAUUUAUAAGCUACCGUAUCAGGAUGAGUCCGCGUACCAUUAGCUAGUUGGUGGGGUAAUGGCCUACCMAGGCGACGAUGGUUAGCUGGUCUGAGAGGAUGAUCAGCCACACUGGAACUGAGACACGGUCCAGACUCCUACGGGAGGCAGCAGUGGGGAAUUUUGCGCAAUGGGGGAAACCCUGACGCAGCAACGCCGCGUGAGUGAUGAAGGCUUUCGGGUCGUAAAGCUCUGUCAGAGGGGAAGAAAUGAGUCUGGCUAAUAUCCAGAUUUCUUGACGGUACCCUCAAAGGAAGCACCGGCUAACUCCGUGCCAGCAGCCGCGGUAAUAC
This 475-nucleotide ribosomal RNA is filed under the name uncultured Geobacter sp. RNAcentral's name for it is "bacterial SSU rRNA". It matches the Rfam family "Bacterial small subunit ribosomal RNA", at positions 73 to 526 of the family's 1533-position model. Lineage: Bacteria; Pseudomonadati; Thermodesulfobacteriota; Desulfuromonadia; Geobacterales; Geobacteraceae. The record is from RNAcentral.